UCUCUGGUAGCGUAUCGGCUAGCGCGCGGUUGUCAGCGAUUGAAUCUGGGUUCGAUUCCUAGCCAGAGAG
This is a non-coding RNA of Desarmillaria tabescens, 70 nucleotides long. Lineage: Eukaryota; Fungi; Basidiomycota; Agaricomycetes; Agaricales; Physalacriaceae. The record is from the annotation of a RefSeq genome assembly.